RNAcentral lists this ribosomal RNA (223 nucleotides) under uncultured bacterium. RNAcentral describes it as "partial 16S ribosomal RNA". It matches the Rfam family "Bacterial small subunit ribosomal RNA", at positions 1278 to 1500 of the family's 1533-position model. The record is from RNAcentral.
AAAAACAAUCUCAGUUCAGAUUGCAGGCUGCAACUCGCCUGCAUGAAGUCGGAAUUGCUAGUAAUCGUAGGUCAGCAUACUACGGUGAAUACGUUCCCGGGCCUUGUACACACCGCCCGUCAAACCAUGAGAGUUGGCAACACCCGAAGUCGGUAGUCUAACCGCAAGGAGGACGCCGCCGAAGGUGGGGUUGAUGAUUAGGGUUAAGUCGUAACAAGGUACC